CAACCAACCAAUAGACAAGAUUUGAUACAAACAGAAUUAAAAUUAUUAUAUGCCAGGGAAAACAUCAAUAUCAAGGGAUAGCUAAGACACCAAUAAACAAUUAACAAAAACACCCCAAAAAUCUUAUUGAUAUAUAGCAUCAAAAAGAUUUGCAAAGAUACUAAUUAUUGGUGUUGUAAAAUAUUUCGUAAUGCAAAUUGACAGGUACAUUGUUUUUCUCCGAAAUAACAUCCAAUGAAAGAAACCCAGUCAUGUAUUAUGAAAACAGCAAAAUUUGAGAGAGAAAAAAAAAUAAUAGGACAUAGCAAAUACUUCAAAUGGAAAAAUACUUGAAGACCAUGAAUCUUGGCUAAUGAUUAAAAAAAUAAGAACAUGUUUAAUAUUGUAAGUAACUCAUUUAGGUUGCACCAAGGGCGGCUGCACGGCACACUAAUGCAAAAGAUAUAGCUUAAAAAUUCAGAGAUAUGCAUCAAAUCCAUCUACAAUACUGACAGUUACGCAUAAUGAUAGUCUCCACAAUUCAUGUAACAAUAUCAAUUCAAAUGAAAGGAGUGGGGGGAGCAGAGGCUACAUGUUUUCAUGCUCAGAUCAAGCUAGACGCAAAGCUAAAACUUGUUUUAGCUUUUCGAAUAAGCCGUUAUUGCAAAGUCGUAUAAGUGAGAAUGUAAGACCCCUUUGUAUAUAAGCACUUAUUUCGACAAGCUCGUCUAAAGGUAAGUUGUCUAAAGGUAAGUUGUCUAAAGUGUUUAGCUAAACAUAUUCUAUCUAACACGAGAGCAUAUUCACAAACACUAAAUUCAAUAAGCUUACUUUUAUA
Molecule: small RNA, 817 nt
Filed under: Vigna angularis var. angularis
Lineage: Eukaryota; Viridiplantae; Streptophyta; Magnoliopsida; Fabales; Fabaceae
Description: Non-protein coding transcript
Source: RNAcentral